GAAAUGCGAUAGGUAAUGUGAAUUGCAGAAUUCAGUGAAUCAUCGAAUCUUUGAACGCACCUUGCGCUCCUUGGUAUUCCUUGGAGCAUGCCUGUUUGAGUAUCAUGAAAUCUUCAAAGUAAAUCUUUUGUUAACUCAAUUGGUUUCUACUUUGGUAUUGGAGGUCUUUGCAGCUUCACACCUGCUCCUCUUUGUUCAUUAGCUGGAUCUCAGUGUUAUGCUUGGUUCCACUCGGCGUGAUAAGUUAUCUAUCGCUGAGGACACUGUAAAAGGUGGCCAAGGUAAAUGCAGAUGAACCGCUUCUAAUAGUCCAUUGACUUGGACAAUACUUUUAUGAUCUGAUCUCAAAUCAGGUAGGACUACCCGCUGAACUUAAGC
RNAcentral lists this unclassified non-coding RNA (378 nucleotides) under plant metagenome. RNAcentral's name for it is "partial contains 5.8S ribosomal RNA, internal transcribed spacer 2, and large subunit ribosomal RNA". The stretch from base 1 to 105 matches the Rfam family "5.8S ribosomal RNA", at positions 50 to 154 of the family's 154-position model. The record is from RNAcentral.